UAUCUUUGCCGUGUCAAUGGUUUUCUACACCGGUUCAUGGAGUGUAGAAUGAAAAGGGAACCCAGUGAAAUUCUGGGACUGUACCCUCAGCUGUAAGUUCAGAUGUAAGGGUUUUGCCACGAGAAAGCCACUAUACAGAAUCGUAUGGGAAGGCAGCGAAGCCUUGAAUAAGUCAGAAGACCUGCCAUUACAAGCGUUCUUUC
RNAcentral lists this non-coding RNA (203 nucleotides) under Porphyromonas gingivalis. Lineage: Bacteria; Pseudomonadati; Bacteroidota; Bacteroidia; Bacteroidales; Porphyromonadaceae. RNAcentral also lists the same sequence under 1 other name. The record is from RNAcentral.